RNAcentral lists this long non-coding RNA (449 nucleotides) under Fukomys damarensis (Damara mole-rat). Its description in RNAcentral is "lncRNA (ENSFDAG00000027991.1)". Lineage: Eukaryota; Metazoa; Chordata; Mammalia; Rodentia; Bathyergidae. The record is from RNAcentral.
UUGCAGAGACUCCCAUGAUCAGACACGACUCAGGAAGUCAAAAGCCGUUGAAACAGUAGGCUACAUGUCAGAUGGGAGAAGAAAUCUCUUGGCAACAAGCAGUGGGAUCAAAGCAACAAGUUACCUGGUCCUGUUCCAUCAGAUGCUGGAGGCGUUGACCAUGGAGUGGGACAUCUGGCCUCAUCUCUAACCUUGAUCACCCCUUUUCUGUGCACUACAAUAGAUAGCUAGACAGGUCUGAAGGUCAACUCCCUAACUACAAGGAAUUGUUACAUCUGGGUUAGAGUUAAUUGUCUGGUUACUGUAAUUUCUACAUGGGUAAUGCAAACUGAGGAAAUGAAAUGCAACCAUCUGAGUGAGAUCAUGGCUGUAAAACUGUAAGAGGAAGAUGCAAUCCAAUAGGAGGUCGAUCACUGGCACUGCCUUUUUGAAUGCGAUCAACCCUUUGC